AAGACCUUGCGCUUUUGGAGCGGCCGAUGUCUGGUUAGCUAGUUGGUGGGGUAAUGGCCUACCAAAGCUUCGAUCAGUAGCUGGUCUGAGAGGACGGCCAGCCACACUGGGACUGAGACACGGCCCAGACUCCUACGGGAGGCAGCAGUGGGGAAUUUUGGACAAUGGGCGCAAGCCUGAUCCAGCUAUGCCGCGUGAGUGAAGAAGGCCUUCGGGUUGUAAAGCUCUUUCAGCCGGGAAGAAAAGGUUGCGAUUAAUAAUCGCAAUUGAUGACGGUACCGGAAGAAGAAGCACCGGCUAACUACGUGCCAGCAGCCGCGGUAAUACGUAGGGUGCGAGCGUUAAUCGGAAUUACUGGGCGUAAAGGGUGCGCAGGCGGUUUUGUAAGUCAGAUGUGAAAUCCCCGGGCUUAACCUGGGAACU
This 423-nucleotide ribosomal RNA is filed under the name uncultured bacterium. RNAcentral describes it as "bacterial SSU rRNA". It matches the Rfam family "Bacterial small subunit ribosomal RNA", at positions 207 to 622 of the family's 1533-position model. The record is from RNAcentral.